CUCCCUCCCCGUGCGGUGACCCAGCCAACGGCGUCUCCUCCAAGGACGUCGUCCUCGACCCGGCGGCAAACAUCUCUGCCCGCCUCUACCUCCCCGCCGCCGCCGCGGCGGAGCCCGGCAAGAAGCUCCCUGUGGUCGUGUUCUUCCACGGCGGCGCCUUCAUGAUCCACACCACUGCCUCCCCGCUCUACCACAAGUACGCUGCCUCCCUCGCCGCCGCGGCCCCCGCCGUCGUCAUCUCCGUCGACUACCGCCUCGCCCCGGAGCACCCUGUUCCGGCCGCCUACGAGGACGCCUUCGCGGCCCUCAAGGCCGUCGUCUCCUCGUGCCGGCCGGGCGGCGCCGAGCCCUGGCUCGCCGCGCACGGCGACGCGUCCCGCGUCGUCCUUGCCGGCGACAGCGCCGGGGCCAACAUGGCGCACCGCACGGCCGUCAGGCUGCGGAAGGAACGCAUCGAGGGAUACGGCGACAAGGUCAGCGGCAUCGCGCUCCUGCACACCUACUUCUGGGGAAAAGAGCCGGUCGGUGGGGAGCCCACCGACGCCGCCCUCCGCGGCGGCAUUGACCAGGUGUGGCAUGUUGCCUGCGGCGGUAAGCUCGGCCUCGACCACCCCUACAUCAACCCCGCCGCGUCGCCGGAGGAGUUGAGCCAGCUCGGGUGCGUCCGUGUGCUCGUCGCCACGGCGGAAAACUGCUGGUUCGUGGAGAGGUCGCGCGCCUACGCGGCAAGGGUCAAGGCGUGCGGGUGGGGCGGCGAGCUCGAGUUCUACGAGACCAAUGCCGACGGGCAUGUCUACUUCUUGCUCAAACCCGACUGCGAGAACGCCGCCAAGGAGCUCGCCGUCGUGGCCGACUUCGUAAGGCGCUGUUGAGUCUUUUUCUCUUGUUCGCGAUUCAGUAACAGAAGCUGAGGAGCAAAUAAUCUUGUCCUUUAUUUCCAUGGUUCUGAAUUCAAAAAUGAGUGUACUUUCGAGCUUUGAUUACACUUGCAACACAAAGGAAAAAACAGCGAGCACCUCGGUGUCCUGUCCUCUGAAUCAAUUCCCGGCGAGGAAGGCGGCCACCCGAUCCAUCAGUUGCAGAGCCUCGUCACACUCCGGCUUGUUGAGGAAGAACACGUGGUCUCCUCCCUUGGACUCCAGCCACUCCACCGUGCCGCGCCACCCGCUCGCCUUCACUGCCUGGUAGUACGCCGCGGCCCUCGGCAGCGCGAAGUCUCCGUCGGCGGAGCAGACGAGCAGCCUCCGGCAUGCCAGCUUCUGCAGGCUCGGCGCUCCAGGAGCCAUCGGGUUGAACCAUGGGUCAUCCACCCCUUCUGUGCUUUCCGGGCAUAGUAUGGACCAAAGCUUCUCCGCACUCUCUCUCAUGUGGAUGACCUCGCCGUCGACUGGCUCCUUCCCACCAAACAUAGGAUGGAAUAUGAUCGCCCCCUCUAGCAGAGCACCUGGGGGUAAACGUAAACCAUCCCGGGUGCCGGCCAUGAUUGCUAUGUUGUGGACGAUGUUCGCGCCUCCACUGUCGCCGGCCAGGAAGAUGCGGCCGGCGUCGCCGUGCUCCGAGAGCCAGGGGUCAUCCCUCGACGCGGCCCAGCUGAGCGCUGCCCAGGAAUCGUCGUAGGCUGCGGGAAUCGGGUGCUCUGGCGCGAGGCGGUAGUUGACCGACACUGCCAGGACGUUGGCUUUGGAGGCGACGGAGUUGAGGUACCUGUGGUACGUCGGAGAGGCGGCUGAGGCGAGGACCAGGCCCCCGCCGUGGAAGUAUACGAGGAUCGGGAGCUUCUUGCGCUGGGAAUCGGAGCCGGCGGCGGCGAGGUCGGGGACGUAGAGGCGGGCGAAGACACCGGUGGCGCCGUCGAUGACGACGUCCUUGGAGGUGACGCCGGUGGCAGCAUCGAAGCCCGGCGGGGUGGUUUCUGUGCCGAAGAGACGCUCCACUCGGCCGUCUUCGUAGAUGCGGAGGAGCGGCGAGUCGUACCGCAAUUUGGUGGAUGGAUCCAUCGCUGGCGCAGGAAAGCUCUGUGCUUUGUGACCCUGAUUCUACAAGAAGUAAUGAAGCUUGGUAUUUGCUCGAUGAAUAAAUAAACGUGGGAGGGGCAAAGCACCCAGGAAUAAAUUUAUCCAAUUAAUUGUCUUUCCUUUGAAAUUUAAGGGGGCAUGGUCUUUUUUGGUUGAAAUCUAAGGUCACGUUUGGAUUCAGUGUAAAUUUAUACAGCCGGAUUUAUUUUACAGGCGUAUAUUACUCGCUGUUGUAUUUAUUUAUUUAUUUUUUGCGGAAGAUUACUCGCUGUUGUAUUAUUUUCGCCUGGAUUAGAAACGAUAGUUGUAGGUCUUUAUUUUUAUUACUGAAGUAUUGAGAGCAAACCGACAAUCCAAACAGGGACUAAGAAGGCAUUAAUGC
This 2397-nucleotide long non-coding RNA is filed under the name Hordeum vulgare. RNAcentral describes it as "long non-coding RNA (HVUL_LNC013311)". The record is from RNAcentral. Lineage: Eukaryota; Viridiplantae; Streptophyta; Magnoliopsida; Poales; Poaceae.